RNAcentral lists this ribosomal RNA (78 nucleotides) under Acanthosepion pharaonis. The record is from RNAcentral. Lineage: Eukaryota; Metazoa; Mollusca; Cephalopoda; Sepiida; Sepiidae.
UGAUCACAGAAGUUAAGCAGCAUUGAGACUGGUCAGUACUGUGAUGGGUGACCACUUGGGAAUACCAAGUGCUGUAAG